RNAcentral lists this ribosomal RNA (484 nucleotides) under uncultured bacterium. RNAcentral's name for it is "partial 16S ribosomal RNA". It matches the Rfam family "Bacterial small subunit ribosomal RNA", at positions 29 to 507 of the family's 1533-position model. The record is from RNAcentral.
AUUGAACGCUGGCGGAAUGCUUUACACAUGCAAGUCGAGCGGCAGCGCGGCCUUCGGGCUGGCGGCGAGCGGCGAACGGGUGAGUAAUGCAUCGGAACAUGCCCAGUCGUGGGGGAUAACACUUCGAAAGAAGUGCUAAUACCGCAUACGCCCUGAGGGGGAAAGCGGGGGAUCGCAAGACCUCGCGCGAUUGGAGUGGCCGAUGUCAGAUUAGCUAGUUGGUGGGGUAAAGGCCUACCAAGGCGACGAUCCGUAGCUGGUCUGAGAGGAUGAUCAGCCACACUGGGACUGAGACACGGCCCAGACUCCUACGGGAGGCAGCAGUGGGGAAUUUUGGACAAUGGGGGCAACCCUGAUCCAGCCAUUCCGCGUGAGUGAAGAAGGCCUUCGGGUUGUAAAGCUCUUUCGGCAGGAACGAAACGGUGGGCUCUAACAUAGUCCGCUAAUGACGGUACCUGAAGAAGAAGCACCGGCUAACUACGUG